GUAGACAGUUUGUAAAGGCAGGUACCUCU
This 29-nucleotide non-coding RNA is filed under the name Rattus norvegicus (Norway rat). The record is from RNAcentral. Lineage: Eukaryota; Metazoa; Chordata; Mammalia; Rodentia; Muridae.